This 395-nucleotide transfer-messenger RNA is filed under the name Flavobacterium sp. It matches the Rfam family "transfer-messenger RNA". Rfam says of the family: Bacterial tmRNA, also known as 10Sa RNA or SsrA, is named for its dual tRNA and mRNA-like properties. Lineage: Bacteria; Pseudomonadati; Bacteroidota; Flavobacteriia; Flavobacteriales; Flavobacteriaceae. The record is from RNAcentral. RNAcentral also lists the same sequence under 1 other name.
GGGGUCGACUGGUUUUGACAGCAAGUCGAAUUGAAAAGUAAGCACGUCGAGAACGGAGACAAAUCUCGUAAAUCCAUGUCUCAAAACAUUUACACGGCGAAGGAAACUACGCUCUUGCUGCAUAAUCUGAAUUAUAGUAAGAUUAGCCUCGUCCUACCAGGUAGGAAAGCAGGAUUCAUCUCGAAAGCUUUGGUUUAUAGCGGUCGAUACAGAUGAAUCGUAAAGAUAGACCUAGAUUUUCACUAGCUUCGGGUGGAUUUCGAAAUUAAGAAGCUAAGCGUUUGGUGGUUGUUUCUGUCCUAGCCCAACGUCGAAAACCUAAACAGGAAAUAAGCGUGUAGAAAGUUUUUUAGUUGCUUGUUUGGACCCGAGUUCGAUUCUCGGCGACUCCACUA